GGUUCGAUAGCUCAGCGGCAGAGCGGUGGGGUGCGUUUACCCAUGCGGCCUGGGUUCGAUCCCCAGUCGAUGCA
Phthorimaea operculella (potato tuberworm) is the source of this 74-nucleotide non-coding RNA. The record is from the annotation of a GenBank genome assembly. NCBI's taxonomy places the organism in Eukaryota, Metazoa, Arthropoda, Insecta, Lepidoptera, Gelechiidae.